RNAcentral lists this ribosomal RNA (253 nucleotides) under uncultured bacterium. RNAcentral describes it as "partial 16S ribosomal RNA". It matches the Rfam family "Bacterial small subunit ribosomal RNA", at positions 524 to 776 of the family's 1533-position model. The record is from RNAcentral.
GACAGAGGGGGCAAGCGUUGCUCGGAAUCACUGGGCGUAAAGGGCGCGUAGGCGGGAUGGCAAGUCAGUCGUGAAAUCUCUCGGCUCAACCGAGAAACGUCGGCUGAUACUGCCAUUCUUGAGGGAUGCAGAGGAGACUGGAAUUCCCGGUGUAGCGGUGAAAUGUGUAGAGAUCGGGAGGAACACCGGUGGCGAAGGCGGGUCUCUGGGCAUCUCCUGACGCUGAGGCGCGAAAGCGUGGGGAGCAAACGGG